AUACGUAGGGUGCAAGCGUUAAUCGGAAUUACUGGGCGUAAAGCGUGCGCAGGCGGUUUUGUAAGACAGUGGUGAAAUCCCCGGGCUCAAACUGGGAACUGCCAUUGUGACUGCAAGGCUGGAGUGCGGCAGAGGGGGAUGGAAUUCCGCGUGUAGCAGUGAAAUGCGCAGAUAUGCGGAGGAACACCGAUGGCGAAGGCAAUCCCCUGGGCCUGCACUGACGCUCAUGCACGAAAGCGUGGGGAGCAAACAGGAUUAGAUACCCUGGUAGUCCACGCCCUAAACGAUGUCAACUGGUUGUUGGGGAUUUAUUUUCUCAGUAACGAAGCUAACGCGUGAAGUUGACCGCCUGGGGAGUACGGCCGCAAGGUUAAAACUCAAAUGAAUUGGCGGGG
RNAcentral lists this ribosomal RNA (395 nucleotides) under uncultured bacterium. RNAcentral's name for it is "partial 16S ribosomal RNA". It matches the Rfam family "Bacterial small subunit ribosomal RNA", at positions 523 to 918 of the family's 1533-position model. The record is from RNAcentral.